RNAcentral lists this ribosomal RNA (555 nucleotides) under Osteomugil robustus (robust mullet). RNAcentral's name for it is "Valamugil robustus (robust mullet) partial 16S ribosomal RNA". It matches the Rfam family "Bacterial large subunit ribosomal RNA", at positions 1851 to 2597 of the family's 2925-position model. Lineage: Eukaryota; Metazoa; Chordata; Actinopteri; Mugiliformes; Mugilidae. The record is from RNAcentral.
GGUCCCGCCUGCCCCGUGACUCCCCAGUUCAACGGCCGCAGUAUUUUGACCGCGCAAAGGUAGCGCAAUCACUUGUCCCUUAAAUGAGGACCUGUAUGAAUGGCACAACGAGGGCUUAUCUGUCUCCUUUUCCCGGUCAAUGAAAUUGAUCCUCCCGUGCAGAAGCGGGAAUACUAACAUAAGACGAGAAGACCCUAUGGAGCUUUAGACUUUCAAACAGGCCAUAUUAACUACUUCCCUUAAACAAAGUAGCAACUACUGAACUCUGUCCCCUGUCUUCGGUUGGGGCGACCACGGGGAAGAAACAAUCCCCCACGUGGACUAGAAGUACCCUAACUUACUUCUACAACUACGAGCCACAGCUCUAAUGCGCAGAACCUCUGACCAUAUAGAUCCGGCAAAGCCGAUCAACGGACCAAGUUACCCUAGGGAUAACAGCGCAAUCCCCUUUAAGAGUUCCUAUCGACAAGGGGGUUUACGACCUCGAUGUUGGAUCAAGACAUCCUAAUGGUGCAACCGCUAUUAAGGGUUCGUUUGUUCAACGAUUAAAGUCUU